UUAACACAAAAUUGUAUGCAGUUGGAACGUUUGCCGCUAGGGGCUCUGUUCCAACUGCAUACAAAUUUGUGUUA
This is a non-coding RNA of Bombyx mori (domestic silkworm), 74 nucleotides long. The record is from Rfam. NCBI's taxonomy places the organism in Eukaryota, Metazoa, Arthropoda, Insecta, Lepidoptera, Bombycidae.